CCUACGGGUGGCAGCAGUGAGGAAUAUUGGUCAAUGGACGAAAGUCUGAACCAGCCAAGUCGCGUGAAGGAUGACUGCCCUAUGGGUUGUAAACUUCUUUUAUAUGGGAAUAAAAUGUGGCACGUGUGGGAUUUUGUAUGUACCAUAUGAAUAAGGAUCGGCUAACUCCGUGCCAGCAGCCGCGGUAAUACGGAGGAUCCGAGCGUUAUCCGGAUUUAUUGGGUUUAAAGGGAGCGUAGAUGGCUUGUUAAGUCAGUUGUGAAAGUUUGUGGCUCAACCGUAAAAUUGCAAUUGAUACUGGCAGCCUUGAGUACAGUUGAGGUAGGCGGAAUUCGUGGUGUAGCGGUGAAAUGCUUAGAUAUCACGAAGAACUCCGAUUGCGAAGGCAGCUUACUAAACUGCCACUGACAUUGAUGCUCGAAAGUGUGGGGAUCAAACAGGAUUAGAUACCCCUGUAGUC
Molecule: ribosomal RNA, 460 nt
Filed under: uncultured bacterium
Lineage: Bacteria
Description: partial 16S ribosomal RNA
Rfam family: Bacterial small subunit ribosomal RNA
Source: RNAcentral